GGGGCUGAUUCUGGAUUCGACGGGAUUUGCGAAACCCAAGGUGCAUGCCGAGGGGCGGUUGGCCUCGUAAAAAGCCGCAAAAAAUAGUCGCAAACGACGAAAACUACGCUUUAGCAGCUUAAUAACCUGCUUAGAGCCCUCUCUCCCUAGCCUCCGCUCUUAGGACGGGGAUCAAGAGAGGUCAAACCCAAAAGAGAUCGCGUGGAAGCCCGGCCUGGGGUUGAAGCGUUAAAACUUAAUCAGGCUAGUUUGUUAGUGGCGUGUCCGUCCGCAGCUGGCAAGCGAAUGUAAAGACUGACUAAGCAUGUAGUACCGAGGACGUAGGAAUUUCGGACGCGGGUUCAACUCCCGCCAGCUCCACCA
Molecule: transfer-messenger RNA, 363 nt
Filed under: Escherichia coli
Lineage: Bacteria; Pseudomonadati; Pseudomonadota; Gammaproteobacteria; Enterobacterales; Enterobacteriaceae
Rfam family: transfer-messenger RNA
About the family: Bacterial tmRNA, also known as 10Sa RNA or SsrA, is named for its dual tRNA and mRNA-like properties.
Source: RNAcentral